UUAAAUUGAAGAGUUUGAUCAUGGCUCAGAUUGAACGCUGGCGGCAGGCCUAACACAUGCAAGUCGAACGGUAACAGGAAUCAGCUUGCUGAUUCGCUGACGAGUGGCGGACGGGUGAGUAAUGUCUGGGAAACUGCCUGAUGGAGGGGGAUAACUACUGGAAACGGUAGCUAAUACCGCAUAACGUCGCAAGACCAAAGAGGGGGACCUUCGGGCCUCUUGCCAUCGGAUGUGCCCAGAUGGGAUUAGCUAGUAGGUGGGGUAACGGCUCACCUAGGCGACGAUCCCUAGCUGGUCUGAGAGGAUGACCAGCCACACUGGAACUGAGACACGGUCCAGACUCCUACGGGAGGCAGCAGUGGGGAAUAUUGCACAAUGGGCGCAAGCCUGAUGCAGCC
RNAcentral lists this ribosomal RNA (398 nucleotides) under Escherichia coli. Its description in RNAcentral is "bacterial SSU rRNA". It matches the Rfam family "Bacterial small subunit ribosomal RNA", at positions 1 to 393 of the family's 1533-position model. The record is from RNAcentral. Lineage: Bacteria; Pseudomonadati; Pseudomonadota; Gammaproteobacteria; Enterobacterales; Enterobacteriaceae.